Molecule: ribosomal RNA, 253 nt
Filed under: uncultured bacterium
Lineage: Bacteria
Description: partial 16S ribosomal RNA
Rfam family: Bacterial small subunit ribosomal RNA
Source: RNAcentral
UACGAAGGGUGCAAGCGUUACUCGGAAUUACUGGGCGUAAAGCGUGCGUAGGUGGUGAGUUAAGUCUGUCGUGAAAGCCCCGGGCUCAACCUGGGAAUGGCGAUGGAUACUGGCUCGCUAGAGUGCGGUAGAGGAGAGUGGAAUUCCCGGUGUAGCAGUGAAAUGCGUAGAUAUCCGGAGGAAUACCAGUGGCGAAGGCGGCACGCUGGGCCAUAACUGACGCUAAGACGCGAAAGCAUGGGUAGCGAACGGG